Molecule: long non-coding RNA, 817 nt
Organism: Lepus europaeus (European hare)
Lineage: Eukaryota; Metazoa; Chordata; Mammalia; Lagomorpha; Leporidae
Exons: 5
Source: RefSeq, a predicted model, not a curated record
AUGGCGGAUAGUGAGGACGUGCGCCAUUAGUCUGCGAAAAUAAAGUUUCAUAAAAGUGGAAUUACUGUAGCCUUAGGAAAAGACUCAAGAAAAAAACUACAGAGGAGACGCCUCCGGAUCGAGUGGACGGGACACAGAGGAUCUACUGAGAGCCCACUGCGUGGAAACCCAACCGCGAGAACCGAGCCACAGAGUCUUGCCGGCGCGGGAACCGGGGAAUCACUCCAAAGAAACAACGAUAAUGACAGACACACAGAUGUUAUCUUUGAUUAGGUGGCUUAUGACCACUGGAGAACUCUUGAAGGCACCAUUCUCAGUGCAGAUGGCAAUGGAAGCUGUAGAAUAUGGAAGCACCAGGCCAACAGAGUUGAUCAUUUGCUAAGAAGCCUUGGAGAGUUGCCUGGAGUUCUGUCCUGUGGGACCAUUGCACUACUCCCAUCUCACUGGUAAUUACUCAUGCUCUCUGCUAUGGCCUGGGAAAGCAUUAGAAGAUGGCCCGAGUCCUUGCAUCUCUGCACCUGCUUGGAAGACCCUGAAAAAGCUCCUGGCUCCUGGCUUUGGAUCAGCACAGCUUCAGCUGUUGCAGCCAUUUGGGGAGUAUACCAGUGGAUGGAAGACCUCUCCCUCUCUCUCUGCCUCUCUUUCUCUCUGUAACUCGGACUUUCAAAUAAAUAAAUAAAUCUAAAGGUCGUUAUUCUGAAGUAGUUUAUCUACAAAAUCCUAAAGAGGCCUUGAUGAAGGAAGGGGAUAUUAGAAGGCACUGGAGUAGGUGAGAUGUACAGUACCACCAAGGAGUUCAGUGACCAGAGCAAAAAGA